AACGCACCUUGCGCCCUUUGGCUAUUCCGAAGGGCAUGCCUGUUUGAGUAUCAUGAACAUCUCAACUCUCAUGGUUCGCCAUGAUGAGCUUGGACUUGGGGGUUUUGCUGGCGUACAGCCGGCUCCUCUCAAAUGAAUCAGCUUGCCAGUCUUUGGUGGCGUCACGGGUGUGAUAACUAUCUACGCUUGUGGGUCGUCUGCCAAGUAACCUUCAGCAAUGGAGGUCCGCUGGAGCUUAUAAACGUCUCUCCUCUGCGAGGACAAAUUUUUGAACGUUCGAUCUCAAAUCAGGUAGGACUACCCGCUGAACUUAA
Molecule: unclassified non-coding RNA, 314 nt
Filed under: uncultured fungus
Lineage: Eukaryota; Fungi
Description: partial contains 5.8S ribosomal RNA, internal transcribed spacer 2, and large subunit ribosomal RNA
Source: RNAcentral